GUUGAUGGAUCUUUCCUGUGCAUGCUGGCAUCCAGGUCGGCAACGCGUGCUGGGAACUUUACUGCCUCGAGCACGGCAUCCAGCCUGAUGGCCAGACGAACGGUGACAAGACCAUCCGGUGAUUCGCUGCUUGCAAACAACAGCUAGUAAAUCGGUCACCGUGGGAGCGGGGACAUGAGAUUCAGAGAAGAGAUGCUGCUGCCUGCCUAUACUAGUUCAUAUGCUCGUCCCUGGACCAGAUGUUCAAGUACAGCCCCAUCCACCACAUCGACCUGGAGUCAGAUGCUGGGCUUUCAUGUUUCUUCGUGAGCAUCAGUACAAAGAAGUCGGAGGAAGAAUAGUUCUAGCUCAUUGGAGCUAGUUCUGAGAGUAAUGGAGUCCUUUAUGCUGCUCCUAUUUGUAUGUGUGUUAUAUGAUGUAGCAGAAUCUGGCUCAUGUGAUUGUACACUUGUGGAGCUUGUUAUCUGAUUGUAAACUUGAUGCUGAUCACAUUUGUAUGUGUGUUAUAUGAUGUAGCACUUUGAUGGUUGAUAA
Molecule: long non-coding RNA, 534 nt
Organism: Aegilops tauschii subsp. strangulata
Lineage: Eukaryota; Viridiplantae; Streptophyta; Magnoliopsida; Poales; Poaceae
Source: RefSeq, a predicted model, not a curated record